RNAcentral lists this ribosomal RNA (460 nucleotides) under uncultured bacterium. RNAcentral describes it as "partial 16S ribosomal RNA". It matches the Rfam family "Bacterial small subunit ribosomal RNA", at positions 338 to 795 of the family's 1533-position model. The record is from RNAcentral.
CCUACGGGAGGCAGCAGUGAGGAAUAUUGGUCAAUGGGCGUAAGCCUGAACCAGCCAAGUCGCGUGAGGGAUGAAGGUUCUAUGGAUCGUAAACCUCUUUUAUAAGGGAAUAAAGUGUGGGACGUGUCCUGUUUUGUAUGUACCUUAUGAAUAAGGAUCGGCUAACUCCGUGCCAGCAGCCGCGGUAAUACGGAGGAUCCGAGCGUUAUCCGGAUUUAUUGGGUUUAAAGGGUGCGUAGGCGGCCUGUUAAGUCAGCGGUGAAAGUCUGUGGCUCAACCAUAGAAUGGCGGUUGAAACUGGGAGGCUUGAGUAUGUUUGCGGCAGGCGGAAUGCGUGGUGUAGCGGUGAAAGGCUUAGAUAUCACGCAGAACCCCGAUUGCGAAGGCAGCCUGCCAAGCCAUGACUGACGCUGAUGCACGAAAGCGUGUGGAUCAAACAGGAUUAGAUACCCGGGUAGUC